Molecule: ribosomal RNA, 1884 nt
Filed under: human gut metagenome
Description: bacterial LSU rRNA
Rfam family: Bacterial large subunit ribosomal RNA
Source: RNAcentral
UCAAGCUAUAAAGAGCGCAAGGGGAAUGCCUUGGCAUCAGGAGCCGACGAAGGACGUGACAAGCUGCGAUAAGCUUCGGGGAGGAGCAAAUAUCCUAUGAUCCGGAGAUUUCCGAAUGGGGAAACCCACUGGAGCAAUACUCCAGUAACGUGCAUUGAAUCAAAUAGGUGUACGUGGGGAACCGCCUGAACUGAAACAUCUAAGUAGGGCGAGGAAAAGACAUCAACCGAGAUUCUGCUAGUAGUGGCGAGCGAACGCGGAGGAGGCCAAACCGGAGGAUUUAUUCUCCGGGGUUCGGACUUGCAUCAAGAUCAGAGGAGCCUAAAAGAACGGCAUGGGAAGGCCGGCCACAGAGGGUGAGAGCCCCGUAUUUGAAAGGUGAAACUGACAGCGAGUAUCCAGAGUACCGCGGGACACGAGGAACCCCGUGGGAAAACGGGUGGACCACCAUCCAAGCCUAAAUACUACCUGAUGACCGAUAGAGGAGCAGUACCGUGAGGGAAAGGUGAAAAGGACCCCGGGAGGGGAGUGAAAGAGAACCUGAAACCUUGUGCUUACAAGCACUCAAAGCACGUUAAAGUGUGAUGAGGUACUUUUUGUAGAACGGUCCGGCGAGUUAUAGUAACGAGCAAGCUUAAGGUAUUGAGUACCGGAGGCGAAGCGAGAGCGAGUCUGAAUAGGGCGUAAAAAGUUCGUUGCCAUAGACCCGAAACCGGGUGACCUAACCAUGAGCAGGCUGAAGUGAGAGUAAAAUCUCAUGGAGGGCCGAACGCACGUUCGUUGCAAUGACCGGCGAUGACUUGUGGUUAGCGGAGAAAUUCCAAUCGAACUCGGAGAUAGCUGGUUCUCCCCGAAAUAGCUUUAGGGCUAGCGUUAUCUUAGAUUACCGGAGGUAAAGCACUGAAUGGGCUAGGGGGCGAUAAGCUUACUGAACCCUAUCAAACUCAGAAUGCCGGCUAAUUGAUGGAUAGCAGUCAGACAGUGUGAGAUAAGUUUCAUUGUCAAAAGGGAAACAGCCCAGACCUACAGCUAAGGUCCCAAAUGUAUGCUAAGUGGAAAACGAUGUGGAGUUGCGAAAACAACCAGGAUGUUGGCUUAGAAGCAGCCACUCAUUAAAAGAGUGCGUAAUAGCUCACUGGUCGAGUGACUCUGCGCGGAAAAUAUAACGGGGCUAAGCAUGCAACCGAAGCUUGGGAUUGUCUAAAGACAGUGGUAGGGGAGCGUCGUGUACGGGGUGAAGUCGCAUCGGAAGGAGCGGUGGACUGUACACGAGUGAGAAUGCCGGAAUGAGUAGCGAGAAUUAUGUGGGAAUCAUAAUGGCCGAAAAUCUAAGGUUUCUUGGGGAAGGUUCGUCCGCCCAAGGUAAGCCGGGAGCUAAGGCGAGGCCGAGAGGCGUAGUCGAUGCACAUACGGUAGAAAUUCCGUAGCCACCGAACUUUAAACCAGAAGGACACUUUCAGAUAGCGGGACCCAGCCGUUGGUAGAGCUGGGCGCAAGGGACCGAAAUAUAGUAGGGAAGUCCGCGAUGCUGGGAGGCGAGAAAAGCUCUGGUGUACACUAAGGUGCCCGUACCGCAAACCGACACAGGUAGGUAGGAAGAAGAUUCUAAGGCCAACGGGAGAAGGGUUGUUAAGGAACUCGGCAAAUUGACCCCGUAACUUCGGGAGAAGGGGUGCUCCAGAGAUGGAGCCGCAGAGAAUCGGCCCAAGCAACUGUUUACCAAAAACACAGGUUUGUGCUAAAUCGAAAGAUGACGUAUACGAGCUGACGCCUGCCCGGUGCUGGAAGGUUAAGAGGAGAUGUGCAAGCAUUGAAUCGAAGCCCCAGUGAACGGCGGCCGUAACUAUAACGGUCCUAAGGUAGCGAAAUUCCUUGUCAGGUAAG